Molecule: long non-coding RNA, 40179 nt
Filed under: Durio zibethinus
Lineage: Eukaryota; Viridiplantae; Streptophyta; Magnoliopsida; Malvales; Malvaceae
Description: long non-coding RNA (DZIB_LNC002225)
Source: RNAcentral
UGACAUAUUGGUGGCGUGGCUGGUCAUAGAAGGGGUGGUCAAAAUGAGUAAAAUUAAAAUUGUGGAUUCAAAAAUAAAUUGCCUGUUUUUAAAAUUUUUCAGUGUUAUAUACUAUAAUGUAUUUUUUUGUUUUCCUUUUAUUAAAAUUUUAAUAGAUUUAACAUUAUUUUUUUAAUUCAAAUGUUUUUAGGUAAUUUAUAUAAAAAAAAUUAGUUUAUUUAUAAAUAAAUAUAUUUUUAGUUUAAUAAUUUAUUUUAUUUUUAUUAUAAAGUAAAUAAAAUAUUACUAUAUUUUAUGUAUCUAUUAUAAUAUAAAUAGUUAUUUUAUUACUUUUAUAUAAAAUAAUAUUUAAUUUUUAAUAAUAUCAAAUAAAAUUAUUUUUAUAUUUAAAACUAUCAAAAUUUAAAUAUUGAUCAUAAAAAAUAAAUAUUUAAUAUUUUACCAACAAAUCACGUAUCAAUUAAUAAAUAAAAUGAUAUUUAAUCUUUAAAAAUUAAUGAUUAUUAGACAAAUAAAAUAGUUUCAAAUCACAUGUAACAAAAUCAUUAUAAUAAUAAAAUCACCUCAGUAAUUUAGUUACUCUGGUGGACUUGAUAAUAAUAUCCCAAUACCUUAUUGUAGUUAGUUUUAUUUUUUUACUGUUUUUAUCGAAGGAACACUUGUGUUCUUAUGUUUCCCUAGACGAUGGCCAUCAAACAUCCAAAUCUUGCAAUUGCACUUCGUAAUUAUGGGAUUGAAAAUAGCAAAAGAAAAAUAUAUAUAUUUGGGAUGCUAAUUUUGAAUAUAUGCAUAGCAUUAAGAAAACAAUAAGUACCCAGGCCAAUUAAUCUCCUUAGUUGCCAUUAUUCUUAUACAAUUCCCUUACAAAAUCUGGUUCCUGAACAUGGACCAAUCCUUAAAAUGCAGAUGCCAUGAACGAAGAGGUGUACAAUAAUAUUUUCAAGGUGUGAGGAAAUUAAGUAAAGACACUCUAUUUCUGAUUAAGCAUCUAAACAGGCAAUCUAAACCUGCUUCGAGACCUUUUCGAUAAUAGUAGAAAGUGUAUCUAAUCUCCUUACUCCAAUUUUUGUAUCAAUUUUAGCAACAUUUUUCGGACUUGUCCAUGGAGUGUAUGCAGGGUGAAGUCGACAGUUCCCACCUCAUUGAAAAACUUCUGGCUUCUCUCGGCUGCAACUGGUAUCAAUUUUGAAAUCAAAGACCAACCUCCAGCUUUUGUUUUCAUUACUGGCAUGGAAAGAAAUGACAGGAAUGACUGAAACAUAGAAAUUGUGAUGUCAUUGGAUUCCCUCAGUGCUGUUACCACCAUCAAUAGAUGGCAAUCUACAUCAAAUAGAGGAAAGGGGCCAUUAUUAUUCCAUUCCAAUCUCUUUAGUACUCUAAGGGCUUUAGCAAUGUUCUUUUUCAACUUCUUUCUAAAGCUGAUAUAAGCAAGGAUAUUGCUUCCAAUGCUUGAAUUUCCGCCUCUCCUUCGUAAAACUGACUGAAGAUCUUGUACUUGCUCCUUCAUCAUCAUAAGUAGGUCUCUUGCGGUGCUACAUGCAUCCAGCAAUUCAACCGAAUCGUUAAUUGCCUCCUCUACUAGUUUAAAAUUUUGCAGACGAUGAAGAGCUUGUCGAGGGAGUGGAGAUUGAAUGAUUUCCUCAAUUUUGUUGUACAGCUUUGCAACCCUAGUGAAACCUGUACAAAUUGUCUCACCACCAGCGUAAAUUGUUUUUGAAGCUGACAAGAGUCCAAUGGUUUUCAGCUCGUUCAGCUCUGUUUCAAUAGAAUUAAGCUUCAACCUGGAUGGCAAGCUGAUGGAUCUAACUGGAACAUUCACACCAUGAAUUAUAGAUGAACCUGCCAUAUUUUACACGGAAAAAGUGCUCAAAACACUCAUAUAUGUUGAUCAGACAUCCAUAAUUCUUCUAUCUAUUUAUAAGAAAGAAUUUUUCAUGCUGAAGUCCAAUCAUUGGCCAUGUGAUGACAAUGGGAGUUGGCCUACAAUUGAAAGAUCCUUGUAGCAUAUUUAGCCUGCAACCUGCAAUCAUUUCUCAUUCUUUAAUAUUAUGUUCAAGAGAUGGACAACGUACAGAAUUGAAUAAUUUUUGCCCAUGAUCCUCAAAUUGUAAACAACUCGUACAGGCCGUGUAAGCCGUAUGCUGCCUUGCCUCCCCAAUCAUUGGUGCGAUACCUUCACAAUUAGUGUUUGUUAAUGUCCUUAAAGAUUAGUUUAUGAACUUUCAAGGCUGGCAAUUUAUAAUUGCCUAAUAGUUUAGAACCAAAGAUAUGAUGUUAAUUGACCCAGGAUUGCAGAAAAAUAUUAGAAUAGGAAACACGACAAAUCGGGCCAUUAUUUUGCACAAAGCUAGACCUCAAGGCAAAGAAUCUGGGGCGGACAUCCCAAGGACACUGAAUUCUUUAGCCACUUGUAGGCCAGUACCGUCAGAGAGAGAUAUUUGUUUAUUGAAGAAGACAUUGCCUAGAAGACCAUGUAAAAUUAAACCUAGAAACAAUGGAGCAAGAAGCUUUUGGUUGAGGGAGGGCCAAAGGGGCGGCAGCUUGUAGAGUCACUAGAGUCAAAUACUGUAAUGCAGAAAAUCCAAUGCAUCACAUGCUCCUUUUUAUUGCCGAGGAAGCUCUGAUUCUCCUUGUCUCCCAAGAUUUUACGUAUUCUAAAGUAACAAAUUCCUGCAAAACCAUUUUCUCCUUGUCAACAUAGCCUAAUCUGUCGUUAGAGUGUUGAAUUUUUAAAUUAAGUAAUUAAGAUUCAAAUUUUGACAACAUCAAAUAUAAAAACAAAACCAUUUUCGCCUUGUUCAAUAAUUUAGUUAAACAAAAGUUUUGGUGUAUCUGCAUCAAAUUCUUCCGUCUUCCCUACAUGCAUUCAGUAGCAGAGUACAUCAAUCUACCAUGAAUUUUGUUGUCGAAAUUUUGGUGUAGAUGGACACCAUUUUAACGUAUGGCCAACGUACAAGAUCGCCAUCUGCAAAUGAAGAUUAAAGGGUGCCCAAAUUCUUUAGGUACUAAAUCCACCAUGUCCGCAGUUGUCGUACCAUAAUUUUACAGGUCAUUUUUGUUUUAAAUUUAAUUCCGUGACUAUGUUUUCAUGAUCGAGAUUACAAAUAUUUAAAUAAAUGUGACUGGUGGUACGUACAGGCCGCUCAAAAGAUAAACUAUAAGCUUCGACAUAAUAAUUGCUUGUUAAUGCAUGAUUGUGGUUCAUAUGAUCGAUAAUAAGAUAAAAGCAUACACGUUCAACCUCCCAAUGAAGGAACACAGCAUUUAAUAACAUGGAAAACGAAUUACAUAUUUCCGUGUCCAUGCACCGAGAACCAGAAAAACAAAAACAAAAAUAAUGACCAUGAAAUUAGAGGAACUUAGAUGCUACUAUAUUCUCAGCUGAAAAUUCAGUUACAUUGCCAACUUAGGAUUAAUUGAGUUAAUAAGGUUCAAAUAACUAUUCUAAGUUUAAAUCUCGAUGCCAGCAACCUUUUUGGUGGUCUACCCAGUUCCUCCUAAACUAUUUUCUACCUAAAAAAAAAGGAAAUUUCAGUUACACCAUUGGGAUAAGGAACAGCCUACUGCGUUAAUAAUGAAGGGUAAUGCUCAUUUUCGAUGUAAAAUGAGUAAAUUACUUUGAAAUUGCCCUCUUAGUCAGCAGUUUUAUUCCCCUUAUACUUAUUUAUUUUUAAAAUUUUAUUCUCUAUCACACUUCAUUGUUGCCUUCCGUAUGAACCUCUAGAUUUAAUCUAAUGGAUGAGCGCAAGCAUAAUGCGGUACCCACAUUGCACUUGGUAGCAUCUUUCAGACUGGCUGAUACAAACUCUUGUAGUAUGUCACAUUUAAUCCAAAAAAAUGUUAGCACACGUAGCCAAAAACAGGAAUUACUCUGACAAGAUGGAAGGUGAACAUGAGCAAAAAAGGACUACUUUGUCAGAAUUGAACCUUAUUAAUCUCUUAGGUUUAGGCAAAAAGACAACAAGGUUACGCUGAUAGAAAUAGCAGAAGUGGAGAACUAACAGGUGAAACAACAACAUACAAGCUAGAAUUUAGACAGGACGAGAGACUUCUUAUGUACCAAUUAUCAAAGAUUACAUUCAACCCAUCUCAACAGGCACUACCAUUAAGUAGUAACCAUAGGGUAUCUCAGGUAAGCAUGAUGUUAAAGGGUAUCAACUAUCAAUAUGUAAUAAUUGACAAUAAGACAGAAUCAGAGGCUGACAUUGUGAAAGUAAAUUUGUUAGAAUUUUUAACCUCAAAAUUAUUAUUAAAGUUCAAUUGCAUAAUUACUGUUUUCUCAUAUAUUUUAUUAGCAGCCAAGACUGUAAAAACUAGAACAAUUAAGUACAAAACAUCAACUGAGACAAGAAGCAAUUAGCACAAUUAAGGCAAUUCGUAUACACAUUUGAAAGUAUACGCGAGUUCAUUAUGGCAACUUCAUGUGCACAUACAAACAAUAAUACACUUGCAGUAACAGAAAUUAUGUUAUGUCACAAGCCAUUUUUGCCAUAUAAAUAUAAGCUCAUUUUAUCCAUAAAAUAGAUGUCAAAAUUGAAAUAAGCAACAAGAACUACAAAUUAGAGAGACUGAUAUACAAACAAAGAACAUACUAGUUAGAGUGCGAGCCCUUGUUCCCUAGCUUUUUUCAGCCACUUAAGGGUAACCUCCAAUGUCGAGUAAGCAGCAACAUCAGUCAGACUCUUACUAUCAACAGCAUAAUCAAACACUUCAUAUGCCUCUGCAACCCUGCCCUCCCUACAAAGUGCUCUUACAAGAGUAGCAUAAGAAGCAGUCUCAAGCUUCACACCAGCGGACUUCAUUGCCCCAUAUAACUCCAUUGCUUUCUCCAUCAAUCUACACUUGCACAACCCAUGAAGCAGCGUAUUAUAAGUGCAUGAAUUCGGGCUACAUCCCUUUCUUUCCAUCUCACCCAACAAAACCACUGCACCCAAUGCAUUCCCUUCUCUACACAUUCCAUUCAUUAAAGAUGUAUAUGUGACAGCAUCUGGAAAAUGGCCCGAUUCAACCAUAAUAUCUAAAUACUUUCUAGCUUCUUUAACUCUCCCAGAUUUUGACAACCCAAAAAUCAAAGUAUUAUAAGUCACAAGAUCAGGCUCAACACAUUCCUCUUUCAUUUUCUUAUAAACCUCAAUUGCCUCACUUCCUUUACUCAACAUACAAUAGCCUUUCAUAAUGGUAUUAUAAACAAAACAAUCCGGCUUAAACCCUGACUCAUGAAGCACACCAACCAAUCUCAUUGCCUCACGUAAGUUCUUUGAAUUACAAACAUUAUCGAUCAAUAUAGUAUAUGUAACAAGAUCAGGCUUUAUACCAAAAGAAGUCUUCAUAUCAUCAAUAAAACCGUAAACCGUACUCAAAGUUCUACACUUGCAUAAAUUCUUAACAAGAAAGUUGAACGUAAAACUAUCAGGCGGAGAGUGCUUUAAAGAAAGUUCUUUUACCAAUUCUACAGCAUGAUCAAUGCGUCCUGCUUCGCAAAGCGAUCGGAUAGCAAUAUCAGUGGUGACCUGAUUGGGUUUGAGCCCAUUAGUGACCAUCAGAUUGAGGGUUUGGUGAACAGGGGAGAGGGAGGAAUCAGGUGCUUUGCAAGAUUGAGAGAGCAAGAUAUGGUAAGUUGAUCGGUCAGGGGAAAACGAAGGGUGGGUUGUGAUCAUGUGGUAAAGAAGAGAGAUGGAGUCAUUGAGGAUGGAGAUUGAGGCAUAGGAUUGUAAAAGAGUGUUGUGGAAGCGAAGAUCAAGUGGCGACUUCGAUGAGGCAACGAUGGAGUUGAAAACUUUCUUGGCCGAUAAGAGGUCAGGGGAUUUAAAUAGGGAUUCGGUUUUGCGGGAUACCGGGGAAGCUUGGGCUUUCUUAGAAUGUUGGGGUGGUUUUUUCUUGGUGAUUUUGUUGGGAAGCUGAUGGGGAAUCGCGAUUGGGGGUUCUAAAGGCAGCUUUCUAAUGAGAGAAUUUGAGAUUGCUGGACGAAAUGAAGGUGGAAUUUUUCCCAUUUUUCUUCUUCUUCUUCUUGUUUCCUUUGAAUGGGAUUCGGGAGUUAGGGUUUUGCAGGGUUUUAAGACCAAGGAGAAAGUGAAUGUGGGUAGGGUUGGGUAGAAUUGGUCCAGCUUUAAAUUUCACCAAAUCCAAUUUCAUUUCAGGGCCCAAUUGCCUUAAACAAGCUUUUUGAUAUCAGUCGAGAAGGAUUUUAUUUCAGGAUCCAAUUGUUUAAACAAAGCUUUUUCAGAUCAGCCCAACAAAGGAGUGCAAAUUUUUUUUUUUUUUUCAGUUGUCAUAUUAAAAUUUUCAUUUUACUGCUGCAAAUCAAAAUUCCCAUGCUAUUUCUUCAAAGCAGAGGGUCUUUUCUAAAUUCAUCGAUCUUCCAUUGUGCAAGUCUAGAACAAUGGACAAUGAAAAAGGAAAUUCAUAAGCAUUUUGCAUUUACAUUUUUUGUGGUUGUUUAAUUACAUCAGGCAUUUGAAUCCUAAACUCGUAUGGAUUAUAACAGAAUUAAUUAUAUCUUUAACAUCUAAAUUAAUUUUUAAAAAAUGUAUAAAUCAGUAUUUAAAUAAAUAAAUAAAAUACAUAAUUUGUAAUUUUAAAUUUCAAAUUAUGUAUAAUGUUAAUCCAAAUUUUAAUUCCAUGAACCAUAUCAACUUAUAUAUAUAUAUAUAUAUGAUGUUUGACAAAAAUUAUCAAAUUAUAUGUUUAGCAUACAUACUAUCAAUAUCUUGUUUUAAUAUUAAUUAUAAAAUAUAUUUUUACCUAGACCAUAAAAAUUAUCUAAAAUCAAUCAAUUAUUAUUUAUCACAUGACAUCCAUAAUAUGUUUUUACAAAAUAUUUAACAUUUUUAUGUAACAAGUAACACAUAUAAUAAAAUUAUACUAAUUAGAUACGAUAAAGGCAAAUUAAGUUAAUAGUAUUAUAAUUUGGAUUAAAAAUUAUACAUUCUUAGAAAAUCUAAGAUACAAAAUAUAUAUUUUAUUUCUCUAAAUAUCAAUUUGUAUGUUUUCUCAAAGUUUAAAUAAAAACAUAGUUAACUCUAAAUAAUAUUUAAUUUGCUUCUGUCUUUUAUAAUGCAUAUAUGAUAUAUGUACUGUAAUAUAUGUGUGAUUGUUAUAUAAAAUUGAUGGUUCAAAUUUAAACUAUCAAGAAGAAAAACCUUUUUUGGCAUCUCAUCACAUUAUAUGUAAUGUGAAUAAAAUUAGAUUGAGAAACUGAAAAUUCUUUUAAACUUUUUAUAUGCCAUAACCACUGAAAACGUCUUGCAAAUAAAAAAGCAACUAGGCAAUCAUGAUUGAUGUUUUAAUAUUUGAUGUUUUUGUGCUUCUUCUGUUGAUAGUAACUUUUUUUUUCUCUAAUUUACUCAAAUGAAAUAUAUUUUUACUGGAAAUAUCCGACCCUUCAUUGCUCAAAAUAAUUGAAACAAUUGUGGGACAUAUCCAUUCAAUGAAUUUUGUAAAGAAUGACGACUUGUGGAGUGGUACACCUCAUCAGCUUUUAUGUUUUUCCUUUUCAUGUUUUUUUUCUUUCACUUUUAUCGUAAUAUCUAGAUCCGGGGAUCUAUCGCUAGACAUUGACUUUUAGGGAGUCGCCACCAAUCUUUUUUUAUCUAGGUGCGAUUGGCCACCUAAAGAAUCUGUCCUUUCAGGGAACACCUAAGCUUAAGGGUCCCUAAAAGAAUAGGUUCAGGUCUACUAACCAGAACAGGGUUCGGGAGUUCGGUUACGUGUGAGAAGGUUAUAGCACCCUCACAACGCCCAUCAAAAGAUGGUACCAGCUUAAAUUCGUGUUAUCCAAAAGCCUUAAAAUUUUACCAAGUAAUUAGUUAUUGGAAAUUAUUCUCAAUUGACUCUAAUACUUUUAGCAGAAAAUUGAGAAAAUUCCCUCACCUCAGGAGUAUGCAAGAAAACUACUGUUUCACUUACAGAGGCUCCGUCGUCGGAUUAUUUAAAGAAAAAAAAAUCAAAAUUAAGAUAGAAAGGAAGGAAAGAAUGAUUUUUUUUUGUAGGGAAAAUUGAUACUUUCAACUUUUCCCCAAAAAUAUUUUUUUGGAAAUUUCGAUUUUCAAGGAAAAUUGAUACUUUCAACUUUUCCUCAAAAACCCUUUUUUUGAAAAUUUAUUUCUAAGGAAAAUUGAUACUUUCAACUUUUCCCUAAAAAUAUUUUUUUGAAAUUUAUUUCUGAGGAAAAUUGAUACUUUCAACUUUUCCCCAAAAGUAUUUUUUGGAAAUUUAUUUCUAAGGAAAAUUGAUACUUUCAACUUUUCCCUAAAAAUAUAUAUUUUUUUUGGAACUUUUGAUUUUUUUUAUUUAAAGAAAAAUAGAAAAAUAAAAAAAAUAAAAAAAGAAAAGUAAAACAAAACUAAAAAUAAAAUAAAGAUAAAAAGAAUAUUAAAUAAACCUAAUCUAAUAAAUAAAAAUAAUAAAUAAACAAAUAAAACAAAUAAAGAUCUCAAAAAAAAAAAAAAAAAAAAACCUAGAGCAGCUCGGCUAUCGGCGCGGCUCGGCUCGGCUCGGCUCAAGGAAGAAAAACGGCUCGGAGGAGCGGCUUGGCGGCUUGGAUCGGCUCGGCUCGGCUCGGAGGGGGGCUGGCACGCGCGAGUCAGAAAGCGGGUCGACGCCCGGGUCGGGUCGGGUUCGACAAAACGCGCGGAUCCUCUGGGUUACUUAAGGCCAAAACGACAUCGUUUUGGGAGGGUAUAAAAGGCACCUUCCUCCGUUUUUCGGCAGAACGCUCCUCCCCCUCUCUCUCUCUUCUUCCUUUUUCUCUCCCUUCUCUCUAGAAACUGAAGAACACCGGUGCCGGAUUCUGGAAAUUUUCGCCGGAAUUUCGUCGGAAGUUCGCCGGUUUCUGGGAUUAGUCGUCGGUUUCUGGGAUUCUUCUCCGAAAACUGGGCAGGUCGCCGGAAACUUCAAGGUUGGCCGGAGAUUUGGCCGAAAAAUUCAAGUUUCGCCGGAAUUUUCGUCGGAAUCUGGAAAUUUCCCAGAAAUUUCCAGAAAAAUUUUUCGCCAAAAUUUCUAGAAAAAAUUCUCCUCACUCUCAGAACACUCCUAAACCUUUCCUAGCUUCCUAUACGCCUUUUUCUCUCAAAUCAGUAGCUUUGCUCACUGUUUUCUCUGUGUUCAGCAUUGUUCCAAAGGGUCCCUUUUAUAGGGAUUGAUCAGGAGUUCCUGAUCAAUCCCAAUUCCUCCUUGGACGGGAAUUCAGUCUUUGAAUCCAACUGGACUCUUCUGAUUGAAUUCCCCUCCAGAGUAAGAUUCUUCAACUUUGAAUCUUAGCCAUCCAGAAUUAAAAUCAAAAAUAAAUAAAAAAAUACUAGAUAAUUAAAAGAUAUGAUAGUAUAAAAAUAAAAAAAUAAUAUCAGAUAAUUCAGAAAAAAUCAGAUAAAAUUAACAGAUAAUAAUAAAAAAAAAAACAUAAGAUAAACCCAAAAAUAUAUUACAAAAAAAAAAAAGAUAAUAAUAAUAAUAAAUAUAUAACUAUAUACAUACAAUACAUAUAAAUCUAAUCUAAAUAAAAAUAAAUACACAAAGAUAUACAUAAUAAUAAUGAAAUACAUAAAAUACAAAAGAAGAAAAAGAAAGAAAAAAAAAAUACAGGAUUGAAAUGGGCCUUACCCCUUUGGGCCAGGCCCAAUUGAUCUGGGUCCGGACCCAAUUGGGUGUCUACAGCUGCCCCUCUUUGCACAUUUUCUGUGAAACAGAAAUUGCGCAAAGACGUAGACACCCAAUCAAGACUCAACUCAACAUUUUUAUUUUUUGAUUUUUUUUUUAAAAAAAUUUUUGUUUUUUGUUUUUUGUUUUUUGUUUUUUUGUUUUUUGUUUUUUUGUUUUUUUUUUUUUUUUUUUUUUUUUUUUUUUUUUUUUUUUUUGCCGAAGUUCCUCUAAACAGAGGCACCACGACUUUGGAAAAAUAAAUUGCUCCUCUCAACAGAGGCACCACGACUUUGAAAAGUAAAUUGCUCCUCUCAACAGAGGUACCACGACUUUGAAAAGUAAACUGCUCCUCUAAACAGAGGCACCACGACUUUGGAAAAAUAAAUUGCUCCUCUAAACAGAGGCAACGGAACUUUGAAAAAUAAAUUGCUCCUCUAAACAGAGGCAACGAAACUUUGAAAAAUAAAUUGCUCCUCUAAACAGAGGCAACGGAACUUUGAAAAAAUAAAUUGCUCCUCUAAACAGAGGCACCACGACUUUGGAAAAAUAAAUUGCUCCUCUAAACAGAGGCACCACGACUUUGGAAAAAUAAAUUGCUCCUUUGGAAAAAUAAAUUGCUCCUUUGGAAAAAUAAAUUGCUCCUCUCAACAGAGGUACCACGACUUUGAAAAAAUAAAUUGCUCCUCUAAACAGAGGCACCACGACUUUUGGAAAAAUAAAUUGCUCCUCUAAACAGAGGCAACGGAACUUUGAAAAAUAAAUUGCUCCUCUAAACAGAGGCAACGGAACUUUGAAAAGUAAAUUGCUCCUCUAAACAGAGGCAACGAACUUUGAAAAGUAAAUUGCUCCUCUAAACAGAGGCAACGAACUUUGAAAAGUAAAUACUCCUAGACGAUCAUGUCCGAAGGAGUUGAAAGUUGUGUUUGAAGGGAUUUCAGGAGAUUAUGCCCAAAGGUCUUAUAAAUCAACCCCGAUACCAAGAGACAUCCUAUUUCAAGGAUUAGGAACUUACCUGACAAGUUUCUUCUCAAACUUGCAAAGUCUUUUCAUACCUGUCUUUUCCAUGUGGGAUGUUGGAACACCCCUGCUUCUUGAAUUUAUACACUAUACUUUCCUGAAAGUAGUGUAUGCUAUGCAAAUGCAUAUGAACUUCAAUGCAUGCUAUGCAAAUGUUGGCCAAUUAAUUCCUGUUCAAUGUAUGGUACUCAAGUUUCUCAAGCUCCUUUUUUUUCUUGGGUGUCAAGCCCUUUGAUUCCUCAAGGAUCCAAUUGCACUGUUCUUCUAAGAUCGAACCAGUGUGACUCUUAAUUAUCUCUUCCGCUCAGAUUCUUCCUUGUUCUGUUUUUCAAUACUUUGGAAUAAGCUUCAUCAAUCGAUCAUCCCUUGACCAUCAUUCAAUGAAUUUCUCAGCGCUAGCAAAUUUCAUAACAAAUUUCAAAACAAAUUUCAUCCACCAUCAUUGGGUCCUUGCUCAUGGGUGUCUCAGCAUUAACCAUUCCAAAACAAACUCUGUCCACUGAUUGUUCCCACCAUUCAACCAAUUCAUCCUUGUACUCAUCACUUGGUUGUAUCACUGCCCCAUUUCUUCAUUUGAUCACAUCAUAUAUCCUUCUAAAUCAUCUCCUCUAGGUUUCUACCAUUUCUUCAUUUUGUCUCCACCAUCAUCUUAGAUUUCUUUUCAAAUGAAUACAAGACUCUUUUAAACACAUAUUCAUUCAUUCAUUAUCAUUUUAAAUCCUGACAAAUACAAUGCAAUCAAGCAUUUUCUCAAUUCAUUCUAGGGGUGUAAUGAUAAGAGAACACAAGGUGAAUUAUGGUAAAGAUAAAUAAUGAAGAUCUGUUUUGGUACAAAAUAAAUGGGAAACGAAAUAAAUUGGAUACAUGUCAUUGGGGUGAAUGGUAUGUCCAAAUGAUGAAUAUUCAGACAAUUUUCAACAUUAAUCUAGGAUUCUUUUUCAAAAACUCAUUCCAUUUACUGUUGAAGUCAUCUUGAGCUUAGCGAACUCUGCCCCAGUCUUUGAGGGAUCUUCAGAUAUCUUUGAUCUUUCAUUCAUGUGAGCCAUUUGACCUGGAUCUUUUUUUUUUUUUUUUUUGGUACCAAAAUCACCCUUUCAGAUUUUCAAUUUGGAUCUCUUUUUUCAUUUUUUUAUUUUCUCAUUUUCUCAUUUUUUCCCUUUUUUUUUUUUUUUUUUUUCUUUUCUCAUUUUUCAUCCAGUGUUGAUAUCUUUCAUGUAGCAUGAUUUCAUUGCUUCAUCAUGAGCCUAUCUUUGCUCAACCUAUGAUCAUUCAAGUUGGGUAUUCACACUUGAUCCAAAUGGACUUUUCAAGGUUGUAAUGUAGGCCAAGGUGAAGGGUAAUAAAAAAAUGGAUAUAAUAGGCUCAAAACAUAUAUUAAAAAGGUUCAAAACCAAAGGAUUAUUUGAUACAACUUGGCAUUUUACCCCACAUCAUUUCACUGCUUUUUCUUUCCUCACACAAAGGAUCUCAUUACUUUGCCCCAAAUCAUGUGUGGCAUUUAUUUUUCUUUUUACUUUUCUUUCUCUUUUCAUCUUCGAGACCUUUUGUGGUGUUUUUUUUUCUUUUUUUUUUUUUCAAAAUUUACCCUCCAGUGUAGAGGGUGAUCCUUGGUUGGGGUUCUUAAAAAAAAAAAAUGAUGAUUGGCUCAAAGGGGUAGCAAUAAAUGGUUUUUCCAAUGGUAAAAGAAAGAUGGCCAUUUUUCAUCUCAAUUGUGAAUACCUUUCUUGAACAUCAUCUAUUGAACAAAGCUCAUGAACUUGUAUAAAAUAUUGCACACCUUCAAGAUAUAUCUCUUUCAUCUCUGGUGAUGGCUUACCCUCUUUAUUUUCGCUCAAAUCAUCUCCUCUGUGAAUGAGUUCUCAAAAUUAAAUUCCAGAAUUAUUGUUAUCAUUGUCUAAAUAUUCAUCAUCUGAAAUUUAAGAAUGGGAAUGUGAAGUUAUGGAAGGUAACAAGGCAUGGAAUAAUGGUCAAGUGAAAGAGAAAAAUGUAAUGAAAUGCAUUGACUUGCCUUUAUUAAAAUGAUAACAAGUGAAGUCAUAUUGCAAAAAAAAUCUAACAUUUUUGAAAAGAAAUCCCAAAAUGACAGAAGAAACCUUCAACCAGCCUUAUCUCCAUUGACAUCUUGCCCCUCAAUUCAUUGUGAAUCUCCGGAUCCUUUCUGUUCUUGACUUUCGCUCAGUACACUAACAUUAGGUGCUGUUACUUUUCCUUGAUCAAAACUUACCAUUCCAUCAUUGAUCAACCGUUGUACCUUAUACUUUAAAGCAGUGCAAUUUUCAGUAGAAUGGCCAGUAAUUCCAUAAUGAUAGUCACAACGGGCUGUAGGAUCAUACCACUUUGGAUAGGGUGGUUUAAGUGGUUCCACAUGGCUGGGGGCAAUCAAGUGGCUAUUAUAGAGUUCUCGAUAUAACUCUGUAUAAGUCAUAGGGAUUGGAUCAAAUACAGGUUUUUCUCGAGCAGUCCGUUGUUCUCGUGAGCCACUUGCUGGGUUAGUAGGGCGAAUUUGGGUUCUUACAGGAGCUUGAAUGUUAAGGCGAUAAGUGGAUGAAUAAGAUGGUUGGGGAGCUAGCUGGUAUGGGUAGGAUGAGACAUUAUUCACAGCGGGAUAGUAUGGAGAGUAGCCUUGGGAUGGAUAGGGUUGAUAACCCCUAAAUUGUUGUCUAUCGAAGCUCACAGCUUGAGCUUCAGCUUCUUUCUUUUCUGAUGCCUUCUUGGUUUCUCCUCCUUUCAACUUGCCAUUUUUAUGGCACUUUCAAUAAUUUCUCCAGAGAUCACCAUGUCAAGCAAAAUUUUUUGUUGCAUUCCCUAUCAUCUUUUCAUAAUAAGGAGGUUUCAAAGUGCUAACAAACAGCACUGUGGUCUCUUUUUCUGUCAGAGGAGGUUGUACCUGUGAAGCUAUAUCUCUCAAUCUCUGGGCAUAUUCUUUAAAAGACUCGUUUGACUUUUUCUCCAGAUUCUGCAAAGACAAACGAUCUGGGGCCAAAUCGAUAAUGUGUCGAUAUUGACUGAUGAAGUCAUGAGCCAUAUCGCUCCAAGAGCGAAUACGAGUCCUAUCCAACUGAACAUACCAUCUGGCGGCAGAGCCAGUAAGACUGUCCUGGAAAACAUGCAUCAAGAGUUUUUCAUCAUGUGCAUGAGCUGCCAUCUUUCUGCAAUACAUAGUGAUGUGGGUUUUGGGGCACUUUGUACCGUCAUAUUUUUCAAAUUUCGGUACUUUAAACUUAUAGGGAAUAACCACAUCAGGAACUAGGCAAAGCCCAGCAGCAUCAACUGACCCAUAAAAGUUAAAUCCUUCUACAGCCCGUAGCCUCUGCUCUAACAUGCUAAUCUUGAAACUUUCCUCAGCCUCUACUCUCAUCUUUUCUUUCUCCUUCUCUUCUAGAUCAGGAAUUGGUUCUGCUGCCUUUUCAGUGAAGACAGGAUUUAUAUAGCUGUUAUACUACCCUGGGUUGAAAGCUGAUGGCAUUCCAGGAUAGGCGAAAUGUUGUGGCGGGACCUCUUGGGCAGACUGGGCUUGAGGUGGGCCAAAACCUGGAGGGUACAAGGGGUCAGCUAUUUCUUGUAAUGGGGGAAUUUGCUGGCUUGUACUUCCUUCAACUCCUUUUCCUUUGUUCAUGUUAUUAAGAGCCUCCAGAAUCUUGCUCAGCUCACCCUCAAUCUUCUCCUGGGCUUUCUCUAUCUUUUCAAAUCUUUGGGAAUUUUCCUGCUCCAUUUGCCUUGCUCUGGACCUUGUGUUGUAUGGAUGAGCAGGGUUUUUGCUAGAUGGAGCUAUCCUGGGACCUUGAGUACCAUACUUAUGAUUAGAAAUGUUAUGCUGUGCCUUAUGUAUGAUGCUUUGAUAUACAAAUGAAAUGUACAUUUUUCUGAAUGAAAUCUAGUAUGAAAUGAAUGCAAAUGAUUGUGUUGAAACAUGAUCAUGAAAAGAAUACAGAUGCAUACAAUCAGACAAACAACAUGGUUAGUUUCGUGGAUGAAACGAAAGUGAUGCUGAUGCAUAAUGUUACAUAUAAUAAAAAUAACACACAAAGUUAAACAAUCAAAAUGAUUAGACAAACACCCUUUUUGUGUCCUAAUUUCAAGGCAUAUCUAUCAUUGGGUAGAAAGGGCUCUAUCUUAGGUGUAGGCACUUCUAAGGUUCACUAUAUGUAGUUUUAAGGUCAGGGUCUAAAGGUCCUCAAAUUGUUCCUUACAUCCCUGUCCUUCACAGACUAGUAAGGCACCAUAAUCCUCACCCAUUACAGGCUACAAGCGGAAAAGGUUCAAUUUGAGUGAGAGUAUUUCGCUAGCCACUGCGGAGGUAUUAGAUCUCACGAAAGCAAUAGGUACUUUACUCCCUCCUAGAGCGACGGAGCUCGGGUAUAGAGCUCAUGUUAUGCACAUGCAUAUGAAUGACAUAAUCAACAAAGUGAAUAAACAUGAAUGAAUAAUAACACAUAUAUACAAAAAGGGUUCAAUUUUAUUAGGCUUUUGGAUAACACAAAUUAUUUGCUGGCCUGACUCUCAAAGUCCCCAGUGGAGUCGCCAAGCUGUUGUAACAUCUAUAUCCGGGGAUCUAUCGCUAGACAUUGACUUUUAGGGAGUCGCCACCAAUCUUUUUUUAUUUAGGUGCGAUUGGCCACCUAAAGAAUCUGUCCUUUCAGGGAACACCUAAGCUUAAGGGUCCCUAAAAGAAUAGGUUCAGGUCUACUAACCAGAACAGGGUUCGGGAGUUCGGUUACGUGUGAGGAAGGUUAUAGCACCCUCACAACGCCCAUCAAAAGAUGGUACCAGCUUAAAUUCGUGUUAUCCAAAAGCCUUAAAAUUUUACCAAGUAAUUAGUUAUUGGAAAUUAUUCUCAAUUGACUCUAAUACUUUUAGCAGAAAAUUGAGAAAAUUCCCUCACCUCAGGAGUAUGCAAGAAAACUACUGUUUCACUUACAGAGGCUCCGUCGUCGGAUUAUUUAAAGAAAAAAAAAAUCAAAAUUAAGAUAGAAAGGAAGGAAAGAAUGAUUUUUUUUUGUAGGAAAAAUUGAUACUUUCAACUUUUCCCCAAAAAUAUUUUUUUGGAAAUUUCGAUUUUCAAGGAAAAUUGAUACUUUCAACUUUUCCUCAAAAACCCUUUUUUUGAAAAUUUAUUUCUAAGGAAAAUUGAUACUUUCAACUUUUCCCUAAAAAUAUUUUUUUGAAAUUUAUUUCUGAGGAAAAUUGAUACUUUCAACUUUUCCCCAAAAGUAUUUUUUGGAAAUUUAUUUCUAAGGAAAAUUGAUACUUUCAACUUUUCCCUAAAAAUAUAUAUAUUUUUUUGGAACUUUUGAUUUUUUUUAUUUAAAGAAAAAUAGAAAAAUAAAAAAAAAUAAAAAAAGAAAAGUAAAACAAAACUAAAAAUAAAAUAAAGAUAAAAAGAAUAUUAAAUAAACCUAAUCUAAUAAAUAAAAAUAAAUAAAUAAACAAAUAAAACAAAUAAAGAUCUCAAAAAAAAAAAAAAACCUAGAGCGGCUUGGCUAUCGGCGCGGCUCGGCUCGGCUCGGCUCAAGGAAGAAAAACGGCUCGGGGGAGCGGCUUGGCGGCUUGGAUCGGCUCGGCUCGGCUCGGAGGGGGGCUGGCACGCGCGGGUCAGAAAGCGGGUCGACGCCCGGGUCGGGUCGGGUUCGACAAAACGCGCGGAUCCUCUGGGUUACUUAAGGCCAAAACGACGUCGUUUUGGGAGGGUAUAAAAGGCACCUUCCUCCGUUUUUCGGCAGAACACUCCUCCCCCUCUCUCUCUCUUCUUCCUUUUUCUCUCCCUUCUCUCUAGAAACUGAAGAACACCGGUGCCGGAUUCUGGAAAUUUUCGCCGGAAUCUGGAAAUUUCACCGGAAUUUCGCCGGAAGUUCGCCGGUUUCUGGGAUUAGUCGCCGGUUUCUGGGAUUCUUCUCCGGAAACUGGGCAGGUCGCCGGAAACUUCAAGGUUGGCCGGAGAUUUGGCCGGAAAAUUCAAGUUUCGCCGAAAUUUUCGCCGGAAUCUGGAAAUUUCCUAGAAAUUUCCAGAAAAAUUUUUCGCCAAAAUUUCUAGAAAAAAUUCUCCUCACUCUCAGAACACUCCUAAACCUUUCCUAGCUUCCUAUACGCCUUUUUCUCUCAAAUCAGUAGCUUUGCUCACUGUUUUCUCUGUGUUCAGCAUUGUUCCAGAGGGUCCCUUUUAUAGGAGUUGAUCAGGAGUUCCUGAUCAAUCCCAAUUCCUCCUUGGAUGGGAAUUCAGUCUUUGAAUCCAACUGGACUCUUCUGAUUGAAUUCCCCUCCAGAGUGGGAUUCUUCAACUUUGAAUCUUAGCCAUCCAGAAUUAAAAUAAAAAUAAAUAAAAAAAAUACUAGAUAAUCAAAAGAUAUGAUAGUAUAAAAAUAAAAAAAUAAUAUCAGAUAAUUCAGAAAAAAUCAGAUAAAAUUAACAGAUAAUAAUAAAAUAAAAAAAUAACAUAAGAUAAACCCAAAAAUAUAUUACAAAAAAAAAAAAAAGAUAAUAAUAAUAAUAAAUAUAUAACUAUAUACAUACAAUACAUAUAAAUCUAAUCUAAAUAAAAAUAAAUACACAAAGAUAUACAUAAUAAUAAUGAAAUACAUAAAAUACAAAAGAAGAAAAAGAAAGAAAAAAAAAAUACAGGAUUGAAAUGGGCCUUACCCCUUUGGGCCUGGCCCAAUUGAUCUGGGUCCGGACCCAAUUGGGUGUCUACAACUUUUUUUGGGGAUAAAGGUUUUUUUUAAAGGAUUAGAGCCUAUAGCAAAAAACAAACUUUUUUUUUAAUCUUUUAUGAUCUUUCAAUGAUAAAAAUUGAUAAGAAAUUGAUUUUUACAGUAGAUUAAUGACAGAAGUUGGUGAGAAAUUGAUUUCUAUAUAUAAAAAAUGUCAAUGAAUAAAAAAUGGAUGUGAGGGAAAUUGAUAGAAAGUUAAAAAGAAUUGGUGAAUGAAAAAAUAAGAAAUCUGACAAAAGAAUGGGUGAAUGAGAAUGAUGAGAAGCUGGGGUACUCAGGUGGGACACAUCUUUAAUUCUUUUCCCUUCUUUCCUUUCUUUUUGUUAUUUCAUUUCAUUUUCCUCAUUCAUUCCCUAUUUGAACUAUUCUCUCCAAAAAAUUAAAUGUCAAUCAGCAACCAUCCUCUUAGGCCAUUAGGCGUCAUUGUUCACAAUCACACUGGUGGUGGUUUCACUCCAUACUUCAGCCACUUCUGCCUUUUCACCCUUUCUAUUACUUUUUUAGUUUAGGUUUUAUAAAAAUAAAAUAAAAUAAAAUCCCUAAAGCUCUAAUUUUAAACACAAAAAUUAACCCGCCGCCAUCCUAUUUGUCAUUGUCAUCGUUCCGUUACUGAAAAAUCAAUCUUACUUCCCCAAUUCUUUCUUAUUUACCUUUUGAUUUGAUUGAUUUUUCCUAAAAUUCCCUUUUCAUCCUGAGUCACCAUUAUUACGACAAUGAUCCAACCUGCUGUUGUUCAUCGUAGCCGACAAGGCAAUCUAUUCGAUCAUGUAAUUUUUUUAUAUGUUAUUUUACAAUCUUCUUUUAGAUAUGAAUGUUGAGCUAAAAGCCUCUAAUCUAAUCAUAUCAACGAAAAUAAAAUCAAAUAAUAAAUCAAAUGCACAAGAAAUAAUAAUUUAACAUGGUUUGAUCCAAUCAACUUACGUCCACAGAUAAGAAAUAAGCUCUACUAGUUGUAGAUAAUUAUAAAUAUACAUCAAAUCAUCAACCUCACUCAAUAAUCAAUACUCAUAAGACACUCUCAAUCUCUUCUAGUCCUAUGAAGUAUUCUCAACCCAAACAAACACAAACCUAAACCCUUGUGCACCCUUUCAACAUAACCAAACAUAUACCCAUAUGCUUUCAUACAUCAUAUCUAUAUGGACCCUUUCAGUCUCCUCUAAUCCACUCACAAACAAGCAUACACACCCAUAAGACGUAGAGCCCUAAUACUCUUAUAAGGUGUCUAUAUCACAAAACCCUACAACUCUUUAUAUUUUUUUCUCAUAUCUAACCCCGUAGAGACUUCACAUAUUUAUAACCAUACAAAUUUGUCCAUUAAGAAUCCUUCUCCUCUUAGAAUUCUUCUCCUGUAAGUCAAACUUGCUUAUUAAGAAUCUCUUUCCCUUUAAAAUUAUUCUCUUGCAAGUCAAACUUACCUAUUAAGAAUCAUUUUUCUCUUAGAAUUCUUCUUUUGCAACUCUUCUUGUCCAUCCAGCAAUAUCUAACAAAUCUCAAACAAAACCUCUAACAAAUCUCAAACAAAUCUUUUAUGAGAUUUGAGUUAAUAUUUUCAACAAUGAUAACUUCUUUAACUAUAAGACUAAAAACAAGAAAAGUGAAAAAUUAGAUAUUUCUUAUUAAACUUUUCUUUUUUAAUUUAAUUUUUUUUAAAUCAUGGUAUAGGUGAAGUAAUCUUUUGUAAUUAGUGUAAUUUUCUUUAUCAUUCUUUUUUAAUGAAUUUAUCUUUUUAGUGCUUAUUUUUAUUUUUUUUAUUCUUACGUGACUUUUUUUAAGGAUAUUUCUUUGAAUUUCAAGAUCUUUUGCUCGGUGAAGCUUUUUUUUUUUUUUUUUUUUUACAAUUAGUUGUCUUUGAAAUUAUUGAUAACGAUGGUUUUCCAACUUUUUUUGGGCAAAAAAAGGAUGGAUUUUCAGCUUCAUUUUUAUUAUCUACUUUAAUCACGUUUAGGUUCAUAUUAUUAUAGAUCAAAACCCUAUGUCAUCACUUGUUUUGUUGUAAUAUCGGUGAUUGUACAUGCUUGAUUUUCUGAUGUGUCAAUAUUGCAAGCAUUUUUUUUCAAGUAGGAGUAUAACUUUACAUUAAGCAUGGUGUAGUAGGCAUAAUGUUGUUUGUCCGCAUGUUGGUUGCGGAAUUAAUUUAAGGAUUAGAAAGGCUAAAAAUUUAUGUGCAUUGCAAUGGAUGUGGCCAAGCUUUCCAACUAGAAAAAUGGAAAAGCACAUAACGGUGUUUCAUGAACCUUUUAGGUGUCCUUUUGGAAUAGUCUUUAAGAAGAAAGACAUAGUAAGUCACACUCUUUUUUACAUAAAUUUUAUUUCACUUUCUUUAUUUCAGUUAAUUAGGUUGUUAUUAUUGUCAAUUUUAGUUAAUUGAUUUCAAAAGUAGAACACGAGUUAAUUCGAGAAUGUUAAAAGGGAACACUUCAUAUGUUGUUUUCAUAUUAGUGACUUUUGAUCUUGAGUGUAAGGUAUUGACAAAGUUUUCUCUCUGUGUAUAUAUAUAUAUAUAUAUAUAUAUAUAUAAUAUAUAUAUAUAUAUAUCUUUUUUUGAGUUCUUGGACUAUUAUAUAACGUUCAUAUAUUAUUUAUCAAUAAACUUGUAAACUUAAUGAUGCUAUAUAGUUGUAUUCAUUUAAAAUAUUGUGCGAUUUGAGUAGGCUAUUUUUUGCUAUUUUUUAGUAUAUACAUAUGUUUCAUGGUUGACAAGAGUUUGACACAUUAAGCUUUGCUAAUUUAAAUGUCCUUUUCAAUUGAAUGAUUCCAUAAAUUGAAUAAUUAGAUUAAUUAUGUUUAAGAAUAGAAUUACAUCAUAUUAUUCAUAAUAUAAAAAACAUGUGUUCUAUUUAUUACUAGUUCCAUUACAUAUGUGCAUACAUUUUUUUAUUAUGAUUUUCAAAUUUGUAGGUUGAUGCUUAGUAAUUGUUCAUUAAAAAAAUAAAAAUAACAUCGAUAUCAAUAGUGAAAGGGUCUUAUUUAUUUUUGUCGACAGCUUUUGAAUUAUUAUUUUUUUUAUCGGUUUGAAUUUUACUUUGUGAAGUUGAACUCCAUUUGAUUGUUUUAGAAAUUCCAAUUUCACUUUUGAUUUUGAGAUGCAUUAUUUUUUUAAUAUAAUUUAUAAAUUCUAAGCCUAAGAUAAGAAAAUCGAAUUCCUUUUAUUAAUUAAAAUUUUGUUUUAUUCAUCAAUUACUUGACAAUGAAACUAAACUAUUAAUUUUAGACAAAAAAUAAAAAUCAUUAUGCGAAAACAGCUUUUUACUUUAAAAUUCUAUCCCUUUUCUUUGUUGUAAAAUUUUUUUAUUAUUAAUUAUUGAUUAUGUAUGUGCUUGGUAUUUUAAGCGUUAAGGUCCUAAAUGAUAAUGGUUGCAGGUUUCUUUGAUUGUAUAUUUGGCGCAGAAAUUUUUUUUUUUUUUUUUGCUUUUUCUUUUUAAUUUCAUGGACUUUCUGUUUUUACCAUCAAUCUUGUUCUUUUUUUUUAGAUAAAUCAAUCUUUGUUAUUUAUAUAUAUUCUUGAAAAAAAAAAGGCCAUUGUGGAAAAGAACCUUAUCCAAUUCAAUCUUCUGUUGCUAAGGAAAAAGAAAAUAAAAAAUCAAUCUACCCAAAAAAAAAAAAAAUGAAGAUCAAUCCAAAUGUUAAUUGAAUAAGGUUCGGUCAGCUUUAAUUUGAAUAAAACUUUAUAAAUGUAUAACUUAUUUGAAAAAUGAGUAAAGUUGGAUCAAAAGUGAACCGACCCAAAAAAAAAAAAAAAAAAAAGAAAAGAAAGAAAGAACCUAAGUGAACUCAAAUCGUUGAUAAUCCUAACAAAGUUAUUUGCCCUUUGUGUUUGUAGUCUUUUACGAACCUUAACAAUCACAAUGCACAAUCAAUUCAAACAAAUUUAUUUGUCACACCUAAUAAAUUUAUGAAAAAAUUCCUUUCUUGAACCUUAUCAUUCACGCACUUUGACUACGAUUUCUCAUCUCCUAACUUUUUGAGAUACACCUUUUUGUUUUUCAAACAAGCGUAAGUAGGGAGGAUGUAGUACAAGUAUCAUUUGUUUGAAGUUUAUACACAGAUUUUAACUUUUGAAGAGCAAGUUUUUAAUCAAAUUUUUUAAUAAGAUAUCAUUAAUUAUUAUGUUCUAAAUUAUUAAUAUAAAAAUAUUGAAUGUAAUAAAAAAAUAAAAAUACUAAAUUAAAAAUAUUAAUUUUUAUUGAAUAUGAACAGUAUUGAAGAGUUAGAAUUGUACAUACAUUAAUUUCGUUACCCCAAAAAUAACUUUUAAGGCUAAUUAUUGUUGUAACUCAUAAGUUAAUUUUAUUGGAAAUUUUCAAGAUUUUUACAAAAAGAAUCAUCUAAAUUUUAGUUUUCAAAAUGAAUUAUAACUGCGUUUGGCUCACAAUUAAUUAUUUUGAAUUCAAAUAACCCAUCUAUAUAUUUUUCUUCUUUUUCAAAAAAGCAAAUUAGGAAUUAGUCAUGCAUGCUUAAUCUCUUGUCUGACUCAGAUAUUUAGAAAACAAACUCCUCCACUAUAGUUUACAAAUCAUAAAAUUGAUCAAAUUAGUAAGUGUUUCGCAACCAAACCACAAUUUAGAUUUAAUAUUGCUAACAAAUACGUAAUUAUUUUGGAACGGACAGCAGUUAUGAAGUUGUGUGUCCAAGCAAAGAGAAGUGCGUCCAAAGAAGAUCCCACCAUGAAUUUGGUUUAGAGUAAUUGCGUGCUUCGAUCUUGUCCCUUGGGCCAUGGCUCUGUUAUUCGAAUCAGUUGUUGGGUUCAUCUUUCCAAGCAAAGAGAAGUGCGUCCAAAGAAGAUCCCACCAUGAAUUUGGUUUAGAGUAAUUGCGUGCUUCGAUCUUGUCCCUUGGGCCAUGGCUCUGUUAUUCGAAUCAGUUGUUGGGUUCAUCUUUCAUCUUAGACAAGGUGAAGGUGGGGUCGAACGUCGAAAUCUCACUCUCAUCCAAAAUAACUUUUCGUGGCAACUUAAGCAUCGGAAUAGUACUAUCAGAUACAUGUCCCUGGAAAAUGUGCGAGGAGAGAAAAAAAACAAACAAGCUUCUCUUGUAAGGGUUUACCAUCCACAUCAAGCGUGUGAGACCCGCAGCUUGAAUAAUUACGUUCAAAUUUUCCACAUAAUUGGAAGACCCUUGGCCUUCUUUUCUCUCCAAAUCAUUCUCUCUAAUAUAAAACCCUGUUGCCCAAGAGCCAAGAGAAACAAACCCGAAUUUGAGUCAUCUGAUUUUUCGUGCUUGGGUUAACAUGGAAAAUAUUACUCCAGAGCUUGCAUUACCAGGAUUUCGCUUCCACCCCACAGAAGAAGAACUUGUCGACUAUUAUCUUAAGGAAACGGCACUGGGUAAAAAUUUACAGUCCGUCAUCAUUGGUUUUCUCAACAUUUAUGAACAUGACCCUUGGGAUUUGCCAGGUAACCAACAUUUCGGUCUCUUUAAUUAUCGAUUGCAUGUAGUAGUAAUUAAGUCGAUGUCGUUGUAACAUGAAUGUGACUAUGUGAGGGAUAUAUAAGUACAUAUGCUAUUUUUUACUUUUUCUAGAAAGCAAGAAUUGUCAUCAGCUUCCAAAUUUGAGGAGUGUCGACUUUAGGUCUGGCAAAGAUAGGGGAGAGAGAGUGGUAUUUCUUUGUGCGCAGAGACAAAAGAAGUGGUCAUGUUGGGAAGCCCAACAGGAGAGCUGAGAAGGGCUACUGGAAGGCAACUGGGUCUGACCGCCAAAUCAGAUGUCUCAAGAAGCCCAAAAAAACGGUGGGCCUCAGAAAAACUUUGGUUUUUUACACAGGGAAAGCACCAAAAGGCUGCAGAACUGAUUGGGUCAUGAACGAGUACAGACUCUCCAGCACCUCCUUUCCUAGGGUACUAGCAUCAGCUUAUCUGAUUGUCAAUUAUUGGAGAAUGAACUUAUUUAUAUAUGUAUAGCCAUUUUAUGUGAAUUCAGGAGGAUAUAGUACUCUGCAAAAUUUACAGAAAGGCAACACCGUUGAGGGUGUUGGAGCAAAGGGCAGAAGAACAUGCCACCAGGACAUCUUAAAUCCUUUCCUGAUUCGUUACUCAAAUUAACUAUAAUACGCCCUUGUCCCUGCAAGACCUUGAUUAUGGAGCAGAGGAGGGAGAGGAAUUGGACACACCAGAAAACUUAGAAGCUGAUUCCUCUUUUGCAAUGUGGUGAAUUAGUAUUGAGCAAUUAGGCAUGCAUGCCAGUAGUAUAAUAAAGAUGAUAAUUAAUUUGUUUAAUCUAACUUAAAUGCAUGCAUUUGUAUGUUUAUGGAGUUCUUUUACGGUUGUAAUUUUAUUUUAGAUGCUUUUGUAACAAUGCAUUAAUUAGUUUAAUGCUCUUACCGUUUUAAUUAGCCUUCUACUUCGAUUGCUCUGCUUCAAAGUUCAAAGAAAUGAGAAAAUUAGUCACUAUCUCUAUAAAAUUCAAAACUUGCAAAUGAAAGAGAUCAUAUCAUAAUUCAAACUCAAGCAUGAAGACAACAUAGAAUUAAACAUUAUUUGGGUUAUUAUGUCCCCAUAUAAUAUUUUUUACUCUUUCCAAGUGAAGAAGCUAAUUGCCAUCAAAACAUCAAAAGAGUUAUUUUGAAAAAUAAUAAUAAUAAGAAUGACACAACAAUUAAAAAUAUAUAAUCUUUUGAUUUAUUAGAAGAAAUUUUUUAUGAAAAAUGUGAAAUAUUCUUUACUUUUUCCAAAUUGAGAUGUUGAUUAGCAUCAAAAUAUUAAAAAAAAAAAGUUAUUUUGAAUGAUAGUAAUAUGAAUGAAGCAACAAUUAAAAAUAUAUCAUCUUUUCAUUUAAUAGAAGAAAUUUUUUAUAGAGAAUAUGAGAAAAUGAGAAAAUUAGCCACAAUCUCUAUAAAUUUUUUUGUAUGAUUAACUAUGGUUUAAAUAUUAUUUAAAAGAAAUAAAUUAUAUUUAAUGCAUUCUUUUAUUAAUAUUUAAAAGAAGACAACACAUUAAUUAUAUUUUUAAAAUAUAUAUUAUUUUAUUCCGUAUCAUUAAACCAAUCUUUUAAUGCAUAAAAAAAGGGACCAAUCUCUUAAAUGAAGUCGAAGAAAUUAUUGUACUUUUAUGUUAGCAAGGAAGUUUCAAAGAAAGGGACUUUUUUUUUUUUUUUUUUUUUUUUUUUUUAAGGAAAAUGGGAUUUAGAUAUUCUAAAUUAGCAUAAAUUAUGCGAUAAAAAUAUAAUAUACUAAAAAAUAAAAUUUAUGAUUAUUUUUAAAAUUUUAAAAUUUGUUAAAACUUUAUUUAAUUAACGAUGAAUUUGAAAUUUCUAAACAAAAUAAAGAGAAACUCAAACCAAUUUUCUUUUAAUAUAUUAUCUGUAAGACAUAAGUAUAUUGAAUUUUAACUAAAUUUCACAAUUUUUAAUUUUUCAUUUUCGUAAUUUGUAAAUAUACAUAUCAAACCAUAUAUUUAAUCUGUCAAUAAACAUGGCAUAAGUGGAUUUUAUGUUAUAUUUUGACUUAGUCGUGUUGGAAACCCUUUCUUCAAAAAUAAAUAUUUGUUAAUGAAGUCUUGAUUUAAUGAUAAGAAAAAAAAAUCUUAAAAUUUGAAGUUUUAAAUUUAAGUCUUUCUAUUUUAAUUGUAUAUUAAUUUAUUAAUUAAUUGUUUAAUAAUUACAACAUAAAAAAAAACUAAGAGAAUUAACACAUCAUAUCACCAAAAUAUUGAUCACCAAAUUAAGGACGAGCUCCUUUUAUUUAUUGAUAUUGAUAUUAUUCCAGAUCAACAUGGUAAAUAUCUCACAUACAUAUAUGAUGAUAUAUAUGUACUAGCAGCGGAUUUUUUUUUUAUUUUAAUAAUUAUAAUAAUGUGAUUGAUAAUUGCUUUUCUUUCAUAAUUAAUUAUUAAAGUGCCUAAGCAAAGGGCCUUUGAUUGUAGCAGUCGAGGUUGUUUCCGUAGCUCACUUUCAAUAUGUCACAAUAUCUCUUAUAGAAUCCGAUUCGAUCCUCAACCUGAGGGUUAGGUCCUUUGCCGCAUUCGAUGCCACCAUUGAUGAUGUUGGUAAUGACCCCAUAUCCAGGGACCCGACCGGCGGCCGUGUCUCCGGCGGAUGGCUUCCACUGACCAGUAAUGACAUCGUGACACGAAGGUUUUGGUGACUGUGGUGUCAUCCAGAACCAAAGAGCUGUCUUGAAAGAAAUGGUCGGGUCCCUUGCCACCGCAUCGGGGUCGUUCAGCAGAUCAACGUUUAUUGCUUUUCCUGCUGGACCAUAGUUGUAGUUGCUGCCAAAGUCAAGGUCAAGGUCAAGUCAAGAUAUAGUAAGGAUUUUCAUUUUUCAACAAGCAAUUUUCCCCCCAUAUUCCCAGCUUUUUAAUCCUAUCAUAUUUUAUUAUUUUAAGGGUAAAAUAUGUUUUUAAAUUCAACGAACUUUCUAUUAAAAAGAUUAAACACACUAUGCUUAUGUUUGUGAUUAGUCAAUAGUUAUGCAUGGAAAAUGAAAACCAAAUGAGCUAUAUAUGCUUGUUGUUUAACAAAAAUGCCUUAAUAGUAAUUUUCUUGGGUCACAACUCUGAAUCUAGUUAAUUCACUCGAAACAAGUACACUUACAAUGAGAUCUGGAUUGGACCACGGCCAAAAUAUUUUUUACCCGGUGCACAAGGCCAUUGUUGACUUGCAACACAGUAAUCUCCAGGAUUGCCCUGUUCCCGAACGAAGCAAUAUCCCCAUGCGUAUGGACCAUCCGGUGCAGUUGCCCACCCACCUAUACAAGAAUUGUGAAGUACCCCUUUAAUUAUGCCGUCCAUUAACUAUUUGCCAACUAAAUAUUAAUGUCUGCCAACCAUUAACCACGCAUGCAAGACUAAAGUUAUGGAGAUAAUAGAGACAAUCAAGAAGUUAAUUUUUUUUAAUGAGAAAAAUGAACCUGUAGUUUCAUGGGAAGUUUGAGCCAAGAACGCAGCAAUUUCUCUUUUACGAGUAUCAACAUCGCCUGUGGUUCCGAAAGCGCCAAAGGAGUUGGCAGCGGCAAUGAAAGCAUCGUAUGUAUAGAAACCAUUGCCAGGGCAGUUAGCAUCGUUACGAUGCUUUAAUAUCUCAUUGAACAGGUCGCGGCUGAUAAGCGGACUGAUAUCAGCCAAGCCCCUUAAUGCAGAUGCCAAAACGAACAGAAUCAGAGCCAAGAACCUCAUUUUUUUUUUCUGCUUGGCUAGCUACUGAAGUGUUUUACGCGUGGGAUGUGGAGUCCCAUGUGAAGGAUCAGGCUGGUAUUUAUAGAGUGGGUCAGGAGAGAGAGAGAUCCUAACAAAACCUUAUUCUUCUUAAUAUUCUAGAGACGAAGGCGGCCUUUAUCUGUUAGGCUAAAAACCUCCAAUCCAAUCACACCAGCGGAAACGAAAUCAAACAAUAAAAUCAAACAGACAAGAGACAACAAUUUAACGUGGUUCGGUCCAACUGACCUAUAUUUACGGAUGAGAAACAAGAUUCACUAGUUGUAGAGAAUUACAAACUGACAUCAAAUCAUCAACCUCACUCAACAAUCAAUACUCAUAAGAUACUUUCAGUCUCCUCUAGUCCUAUUAAGUAUUCUCAAUCCAAACAAACCCAAACCCAAACCCAAACCCUUGUGCACCCUUUCAACAUAACCAAACACAUAACCAUAUGCUCCCAUACAUCAUACCUAUGUGGACCCUCUCAGUCUCCUUUAGUCCACUCAUAAAUAAACAUACACACCCAUAAGACGUAGAGCCCCAAUAUUUCUAUGGGGUGUCUAUCCCACAAAAUCCUAUAGCUCUCUUACAUCUUUUUCUCAUACCUAACCCUGUAGAGACUUCACGUAUUUAUAACCAUGCAAACUUGCCCAUUAAGAAUCACUCUCCCUCUUAGAAUUCUUCUCCUGUAAGUCAAACUUGCCUAUUAAGAAUCCAUUUCCUUUUAGAAUUUUUCUCUUCUCUUGCAAGUCAAACUUACCUAUUAAGAAUCUUUUUUCUCUUAUAAUUAUUCUUUUGCAAGUCUUCUUGUCCAUCAAGCAAUAUCUGAAAAAUCUCAAACAAAUCGCAAACAAAUCUCUUACGAGAUUUGAGUCAUUAUUCCCAACAUUAUCAUCACAAAGUAGAAGUAUGAUGAUUGCUUGAAAGCUUGUAUACCUGACAAAUAUGAGAAAGGGCGAACAGGUAUCGUUCUUGGACCGUUUUCUUAGUCCAAGCUUAUCUUGACAUGACUUAACCAAGUUGGAAUAAGUUGAAAUUCCAUUUUGUUAGAAUUCAUAUGUUUUUGUCUCUGCAAGUGGCGUUGAUUGCAGAGAAAAUAUUCAAGCUGAGCAGCCCGAAAAAAGAAAACAAAUCUUAUCCUUGUCAGAUUACAAAAUUAAGAAAUAACAUGCAAAAACCUAGAUAGCUACGGAAGUACUUGAAGAAAAUGAGGCAGAGCAUCCAUUUUGGGAUAUACUUGAAGCUGGCCGGAUGAGUUUUAACACUAGUUCGACCGAUCUCUCCCUUACGAUAAUCUCCAAAUCCUGUUUUUAGAAUUAUAGAGCAAUUUUUUUUCAUAUUACUGUUUAGUAGUAAACAAAUUAAACAUAAAAAGGCCAAAAGUUUUUCAAUUUAUAUAUCUUCAACCAUCCGAUUCUUUUAGUAAUUGCUUCAUAAGAUAAUGGACAAGUUAGAAGAAAUAACUACAUAUACAGAAUAAGAUUUCUUCAAUUGAGAGUUGAAACAGAGAAUAUCAAAAUUAGUAGGGUUAAUGUGUGAUUGAGCCCUUGAACUAUAUUAUUUCUUAUGAUUUUAUACAUAAAAUCUAUAUAUAAAAAUUCGACCUCCAAAAGUAUUAAUAGCGAUAAACUUAAAUACCCCUAUAAAUUUUUAAAUUAACAAAUUCAUCCUUAAAUAUAUAGCUUUUAUUAAUUUAUUUAAAUUUAAUUUAAAUCAACUAAAUUUUCAAAUAGAGUUUAUAUAAAAUUAAACUACUUAGAAUAUUUAAAUUUUAAUUUCAAAAGUGUUACAAGUUAUUGUCUAAAUAUUUUUAGUAAAUAUUUUUAUAAAGUCUAAUAUAAAUAAAUUUUUUUAUUACUAGACUUCUUUUUAUAAUUAGACUUAAAAAGUGUUAAAAAUAAUUGAUUAAAAUACCAUGGGUAAUUUUUUUUUAUAAAUUUUAAUUUAAAUGACUUUUUUAUUAAUUGACUUUUUUUUUAUAAGUACAACGAUUUAUCACAUUAAAUGAAAAUAUAAAUAAAAUGAGAUUAAAACUUACUGUGAAUAAGAAUAAACAAUUAUAUAGAUUUUAUUUAUUUAAUUGUUGUACAAACAAUUUUAUAUAUAUAUAUAUAUAUAGUUUAUAUUGAUAACUAAAUUAAUUAAAAAUACUCAUAUUAAGUAGUUGAAGUGUAUUUGUUUUCUUCUUUUUUAUUUUUACCUUUCAAUUUUUUGUUCCAAUAUGUUAACUAUAUAUGUAUAUUAGUGAUUUUAUUAUUUAUAUGUUUUAUGAGUUGAUCAUUUAAUGAUUGAUAAUAUAAUUAAAUCUUUUUAGUCCCAUGAAAUAAUUCUUUAAUAUAUCAUUUUUACAAUUUAGUUUGACAUCUAUAAUUAAUGUCUCUUUUGUAUUUUUUAUCUCUAGAAUUUUAUAAUUAUUAUUCUUAUGAAUCAAAAUUAAUAUCAAAUCAAAUGCAAAUCAAUUACAUCAUCUCUACCAACAAUUAACAUUAUGUGAUUCAUUGAACAUUUUAAUUAGACUUUUCACAUUUAGAAUUAGAUGAUUCAGGAGGUUGCACAGCUACUAAUAACUCAAGAUUGGAUAUAUGUCAUAAGAAUUCGAUCCGUUAAAUUGUCAUAUAAAUUAUUCACCUUGAUUGAAACAAUAAUUGACAAUUUUCUCUCAACUCUCAUCUUAACAUGCAUAUAUAUGACUAAUUUAUAUCUUAAGAUUAUUUAAUCUUUCUCAAUUGUAUUAAAUUACUUGCUUUUUUUUUUUUUUUGCCAUCCAAGUGGUUAAAUAACCUCACAUGAAUUAUUCUAAACAAAAAAUUAUCAAAUGAAGUAAAAUUAAUCGUUUUUAGUAAAUUAUUUUGAAGUGUGACAAAAUUCAUUGGAAUUAUUUUUUUGAAAGUGUUUAUGCCAAAAUUAUAUUCAUUUGUGAACAUUUAUGUUGUUAAUACUGAAAAAUGAUAUCAUUAUAAAUUAUAUAGGUAUUACAUAGCAAGUUUAUUAUUUUUAGAAAUGAAAAUUUCUUAAGAAAACAUGACAAGUACCAAGAUUAGGAAUGUAUUUUAUUUUAGUUUUUAAAAUUAUGUAUUUUAAUAUUUUUAUAUAGUAAAAAUUUAUGUGUAAUAAAAUUUUUAGAUAAAAAAAUUAAACUUUCAGUUGAUAGAACAUAAAACUACAUUCAAUUGAUGGAAGUAUCUAUGGAAGAUUAUUGUAAGCUGAAAAAAUUAGACAAAAAAUUGAUAGGAUGUGCAUAACUUUAUUUUUUUCAUAUGACGAAAAAAGUUAAUGCUAUAUGUUGUUCCAAUAUGAAACUCUUUUAUUUGGAGAAAUAUUGUGUACUCUAUUAUUUUCUCUUUUAUAUCAGUUGACGAAUGUUCGCUGUUAUAUCAAAAUUUUUAAAGUUGCCAUAUUAGGUAAUAUUUGUUCAAAAAAAUUGAAAUUCAUCAAGUUAAUUAUCACUUUACAUUUAAAAUAAAAAAUUAUUAUAAAUUAUAAUUUAACUAAACUUAAAAGUGAUUUAAAGGCAUUUAUUAGCAAAAUUCAUUCGAUAAAUCUUUAUUUAAUUAUGCAUUUAGUAUUUCAAUUAUUUUGAAUUUUGAAUUUUUAUAAUUUUGAGUUAGAUUUUAGACUUUUGAUUAGCUCCCAAUUAGGUUGAAUCAAGUUUUAUUAUUUACUUUUAUUCAUAGUAUACUCAAUUAUUCGCUUAUAAACCUGAACAAAUUUAACUUCAUAAUUGUUAUAUACUUCUUUUUGUUUAAAAAACUAGAUUUAUAUCAUUAUAAAUUUAAAUAAAAAAAGUAUAUUCAAUUACUUAUAAUUGUAGUUUCACUUUAGAAAUAAUCUUGAAAUUAAUUAACUAAUUCAACUAUAGAGACAAUAAAAAUUAACCGUUGAAGAUGAAGGGAAAAAACCUUAAAUAAGAAACUUUUAAAUUGUUAUGGAAGAUGAAUAAUUAAUUUUGGAUUUUGAUUGGGUUACUAUUUCAAUUCAAAUUUUGUUUAUAUUCAAUCAUUUUGGGUUUUAAAAAACUACUAAGUUGUUAACUUUUUAAAAUCAAUUGAAAUCAAAUGAAGUUAGUUUAUUUUUACAAUUAUAUGUAUAUUAUUUUUAAUUAAAUUAAAAAAUUAAAAUGAGUAAAAAUUUAAUUUCUAUUCUAUUUUAAUUUUAAAUUAUUUCAAGUUUGAGUUGAUUAAUCAAUGUUAUUUUAGUUAUACUUUUAUAAUAAUGGUAAUAAAUUUCAAAAUAUAAUGAUAACAUAACACAAUAAUAAUUUAAAUGUAAAAGUGAUGGAGAUUCUAUUGAUAAUUUUAGAAAAAAAAAAAAUCUUUAUAUCCAAGUUUUACAGAGAUUAAAUUAUGUAUCUUUUUUUGAGAAAUUUUAAAUUUAUAUUACAAAAAUGUUAAUCUAGAUCAACGUGUUUAUAAUCAUUUAUUUGUUAAUCAAGUUAUUGCUAUAAGAGUUGAGGAAAAUAAUUCAAAACUUGCAAAUGAAAGAGAUCAUAUCAUAAUUCAAACUCAAGCAUGAAGACAACAUAAAAUUAAACAUUAUUUGGGUUAUUAUGUCCCCAUAUAAUAUUCUUUACUCUUUCCAAGUGAAGAAGUUAAUUGCCAUCAAAACAUCAAAAGAGUUAUUUUGAAUAAUAAUAAUAAUAAGAAUGACACAACAAUUAAAAAUAUAUAAUCUUUUGAUUUAUUAGAAGAAAUUUUUUAUGAAAAAUGUGAAAUAUUCUUUACUUUUUCCAAAUUGAGAUGUUGAUUAGCAUCAAAAUAUUAAAAAAAAAAAAGUUAUUUUGAAUGAUAGUAAUAUGAAUGAAGCAACAAUUAAAAAUAUAUCAUCUUUUUAUUUAAUAGAAGAAAUUUUUUAUAGAGAAUAUGAGAAAAUGAGAAAAUUAGCCACAAUCUCUAUAAAUUUUUUUGUAUGAUUAACUAUGGUUUAAAUAUUAUUUAAAAGAAAUAAAUUAUAUUUAAUGCAUUCUUUUAUUAAUAUUUAAAAGAAGACAACACAUUAAUUAUAUUUUUAAAAUAUAUAUUAUUUUAUUCCGUAUCAUUAAACCAAUCUUUUAAUGCAUAAAAAAAGGGACCAAUCUCUUAAAUGAAGUCGAAGAAAUUAUUGUACUUUUAUGUUAGCAAGGAGUUUCAAAGAAAGGGACUUUUUUUUUUUUUUUUUUUUUUUAAGGAAAAUGGGAUUUAGAUAUUCUAAUUAGCAUAAAUUAUGCGAUAAAAAUAUAAUAUACUAAAAAAUAAAAUUUAUGAUUAUUUUUAAAAUUUUAAAUUUGUUAAAACUUUAUUUAAUUAACGAUGAAUUUGAAAUUCUAAACAAAUAAAGAGAAACUCAAACCAAUUUUCUUUUAAUAUAUUAUCUGUAAGACAUAAGUAUAUUGAAUUUUAACUAAAUUUCACAAUUUUUAAUUUUUCAUUUUCGUAAUUUGUAAAUAUACAUAUCAAACCAUAUAUUUAAUCUGUCAAUAAACAUGGCAUAAGUGGAUUUUAUGUUAUAUUUUGACUUAGUCGUGUUGGAAACCCUUUCUUCAAAAAUAAAUAUUUGUUAAUGAAGUCUUGAUUUAAUGAUAAGAAAAAAAAAUCUUAAAAUUUGAAGUUUUAAAUUUAAGUCUUUCUAUUUUAAUUGUAUAUUAAUUUAUUAAUUAAUUGUUUAAUAAUUACAACAUAAAAAAAACUAAGAGAAUUAACACAUCAUAUCACCAAAAUAUUGAUCACCAAUUAAGGACGAGCUCCUUUUAUUUAUUGAUAUUGAUAUUAUUCCAGAUCAACAUGGUAAAUAUCUCACAUACAUAUAUGAUGAUAUAUAUGUACUAGCAGCGGAUUUUUUUUUAUUUUAAUAAUUAUAAUAAUGUGAUUGAUAAUUGCUUUUCUUUCAUAAUUAAUUAUUAAAGUGCCUAAGCAAAGGGCCUUUGAUUGUAGCAGUCGAGGUUGUUUCCGUAGCUCACUUUCAAUAUGUCACAAUAUCUCUUAUAGAAUCCGAUUCGAUCCUCAACCUGAGGGUUAGGUCCUUUGCCGCAUUCGAUGCCACCAUUGAUGAUGUUGGUAAUGACCCCAUAUCCAGGGACCCGACCGGCGGCCGUGUCUCCGGCGGAUGGCUUCCACUGACCAGUAAUGACAUCGUUGACACGAAGGUUUUGGUGACUGUGGUGUCAUCCAGAACCAAAGAGCUGUCUUGAAAGAAAUGGUCGGGUCCCUUGCCACCGCAUCGGGGUCGUUCAGCAGAUCAACGUUUAUUGCUUUUCCUGCUGGACCAUAGUUGUAGUUGCUGCCAAAGUCAAGGUCAAGGUCAAGUCAAGAUAUAGUAAGGAUUUUCAUUUUUCAACAAGCAAUUUUCCCCCCAUAUUCCCAGCUUUUUAAUCCUAUCAUAUUUUAUUAUUUUAAGGGUAAAAUAUGUUUUUAAAUUCAACGAACUUUCUAUUAAAAAGAUUAAACACACUAUGCUUAUGUUUGUGAUUAGUCAAUAGUUAUGCAUGGAAAAUGAAAACCAAAUGAGCUAUAUAUGCUUGUUGUUUAACAAAAAUGCCUUAAUAGUAAUUUUCUUGGGUCAGAACUCUGAAUCUAGUUAAUUCACUCGAAACAAGUACACUUACAAUGAGAUCUGGAUUGGACCACGGCCAAAAUAUUUUUUACCCGGUGCACAAGGCCAUUGUUGACUUGCAACACAGUAAUCUCCAGGAUUGCCCUGUUCCCGAACGAAGCAAUAUCCCCAUGCGUAUGGACCAUCCGGUGCAGUUGCCCACCCACCUAUACAAGAAUUGUGAAGUACCCCUUUAAUUAUGCCGUCCAUUAACUAUUUGCCAACUAAAUAUUAAUGUCUGCCAACCAUUAACCACGCAUGCAAGACUAAAGUUAUGGAGAUAAUAGAGACAAUCAAGAAGUUAAUUUUUUUAAUGAGAAAAAUGAACCUGUAGUUUCAUGGGAAGUUUGAGCCAAGAACGCAGCAAUUUCUCUUUUACGAGUAUCAACAUCGCCUGUGGUUCCGAAAGCGCCAAAGGAGUUGGCAGCGGCAAUGAAAGCAUCGUAUGUAUAGAAACCAUUGCCAGGGCAGUUAGCAUCGUUACGAUGCUUUAAUAUCUCAUUGAACAGGUCGCGGCUGAUAAGCGGACUGAUAUCAGCCAAGCCCCUUAAUGCAGAUGCCAAAACGAACAGAAUCAGAGCCAAGAACCUCAUUUUUUUUUUCUGCUUGGCUAGCUACUGAAGUGUUUUACGCGUGGGAUGUGGAGUCCCAUGUGAAGGAUCAGGCUGGUAUUUAUAGAGUGGGUCAGGAGAGAGAGAGAUCCUAACAAAACCUUAUUCUUCUUAAUAUUCUAGAGACGAAGGCGGCCUUUAUCUGUUAGGCUAAAAACCUCCAAUCCAAUCACACCAGCGGAAACGAAAUCAAACAAUAAAAUCAAACAGACAAGAGACAACAAUUUAACGUGGUUCGGUCCAACUGACCUAUAUUACGGAUGAGAAACAAGAUUCACUAGUUGUAGAGAAUUACAAACUGACAUCAAAUCAUCAACCUCACUCAACAAUCAAUACUCAUAAGAUACUUUCAGUCUCCUCUAGUCCUAUUAAGUAUUCUCAAUCCAAACAAACCCAAACCCAAACCCAAACCCUUGUGCACCCUUUCAACAUAACCAAACACAUAACCAUAUGCUCCCAUACAUCAUACCUAUGUGGACCCUCUCAGUCUCCUUUAGUCCACUCAUAAAUAAACAUACACACCCAUAAGACGUAGAGCCCCAAUAUUUCUAUGGGGUGUCUAUCCCACAAAAUCCUAUAGCUCUCUUACAUCUUUUUCUCAUACCUAACCCUGUAGAGACUUCACGUAUUUAUAACCAUGCAAACUUGCCCAUUAAGAAUCACUCUCCUCUUAGAAUUCUUCUCCUGUAAGUCAAACUUGCCUAUUAAGAAUCCAUUCCUUUUAGAAUUUUCUCUUCUCUUGCAAGUCAAACUUACCUAUUAAGAAUCUUUUUCUCUUAUAAUUAUUCUUUUGCAAGUCUUCUUGUCCAUCAAGCAAUAUCUGAAAAAUCUCAAACAAAUCGCAAACAAAUCUCUUACGAGAUUUGAGUCAUUAUUCCCAACAUUAUCAUCACAAAGUAGAAGUAUGAUGAUUGCUUGAAAGCUUGUAUACCUGACAAAUAUGAGAAAGGGCGAACAGGUAUCGUUCUUGGACCGUUUUCUUAGUCCAAGCUUAUCUUGACAUGACUUAACCAAGUUGGAAUAAGUUGAAAUUCCAUUUUGUUAGAAUUCAUAUGUUUUUGUCUCUGCAAGUGGCGUUGAUUGCAGAGAAAAUAUUCAAGCUGAGCAGCCCGAAAAAAGAAAACAAAUCUUAUCCUUGUCAGAUUACAAAAUUAAGAAAUAACAUGCAAAAACCUAGAUAGCUACGGAAGUACUUGAAGAAAUGAGGCCAGAGCAUCCAUUUUGGAUAUACUUGAAGCAUGGCCAGAUGAGUUUAACCCUGUUCGACCGAUUUUUUUUCUUACCCUUUUACGAUAAUCUCCAAAUCCUGUUUUUAGAAUUAUUAAGCAAUUUUUUUUCAUAUUACUGUUUAGAGUAAACAAAUUAAACUAUAAAAAGGUCCAAAGUUUUUCCCAUUGUACUUAUUAUCUUCAACCAUCCGAUUCUUUUAGUAAGUGCUUCAUAAGAUAAUGGACAAGUUAGAAGAAAUAACUACAUAUACAGAGAAUAAGAUUUCUUCAAUGAGAGUUGAAACAGAGAAUAUCAAAAUAGUGGGUUAAUGUGGAUUUGAGCCCUUUGAACUAUAUUUAUCUUUUGAUAUUUAUACAUAAAUCGUAUAUAUAAAAAUUCGACCUCCAAAAGUAUUAAUAGCGAUAAACUUAAAUACCCUAUAAAUUUUUAAAUUAACAAAUUCAUCCUAAAUAUAUAGCUUUUAUUAAUUUAUUUAAAUUUAAUUUAAAUCAACUAAAUUUUCAAAUAGAGUUUAUAUAAAAUUAAACUACUUAGAAUAUUUAAAUUUUAAUUUCAAAAGUGUUACAAGUUAUUGUCUAAAUAUUUUUUAGUAAAUAUUUUUAUAAAGUCUAAUAUAAAUAAAUUUUUUAUUACUAGACUUCUUUUAUAAUUAGACUUAAAAAGUGUUAAAAAUAAUUGAUUAAAAAUACCAUGGGUAAUUUUUUUUAUAAAUUUUAAUUUAAAUGACUUUUUUAUUAAUUGACUUUUUUUUUUAUAAGUACAACGAUUUAUCACAUUAAAUGAAAAUAUAAAUAAAAUGAGAUUAAAACUUACUGUGAAUAAGAAUAAACAAUUAUAUAGAUUUUAUUUAUUUAAUUGUUGUACAAACAAUUUUAUAUAUAUAUAUAUAUAUAGUUUAUAUUGAUAACUAAAUUAAUUAAAAAUACUCAUAUUAAGUAGUUGAAGUGUAUUUGUUUUCUUCUUUUUUAUUUUUACCUUUCAAUUUUUUGUUCCAAUAUGUUAACUAUAUAUGUAUAUUAGUGAUUUUAUUAUUUAUAUGUUUUAUGAGUUGAUCAUUUAAUGAUUGAUAAUAUAAUUAAAUCUUUUUAGUCCCAUGAAAUAAUUCUUUAAUAUAUCAUUUUUACAAUUUAGUUUGACAUCUAUAAUUAAUGUCUCUUUUGUAUUUUUAUCUCUAGAAUUUUAUAAUUAUUAUUCUUAUGAAUCAAAAUUAAUAUCAAAUCAAAUGCAAAUCAAUUGCAUCAUCUCUACCAACAAUUAACAUUAUGUGAUUCAUUGAACAUUUUAAUUAGACUUUUCACAUUUAGAAUUAGAUGAUUCAGGAGGUUGCACAGCUACUAAUAACUCAAGAUUGGAUAUAUGUCAUAAGAAUUCGAUCCGUUAAAUUGUCAUAUAAAUUAUUCACCUUGAUUGAAACAAUAAUUGACAAUUUUCUCUCAACUCUCAUCUUAACAUGCAUAUAUAUGACUAAUUUAUAUCUUAAGAUUAUUUAAUCUUUCUCAAUUGUAUUAAAUUACUUGCUUUUUUUUUUUUUUUUUGCCAUCCAAGUGGUUAAAUAACCUCACAUGAAUUAUUCUAAACAAAAAAUUAUCAAAUGAAGUAAAAUUAAUCGUUUUUAGUAAAUUAUUUUGAAGUGUGACAAAAUUCAUUGGAAUUAUUUUUUUGAAAGUGUUUAUGCCAAAAUUAUAUUCAUUUGUGAACAUUUAUGUUGUUAAUACUGAAAAAUGAUAUCAUUAUAAAUUAUAUAGGUAUUACAUAGCAAGUUUAUUAUUUUUAGAAAUGAAAAUUUCUUAAGAAAACAUGACAAGUACCAAGAUUAGGAAUGUAUUUUAUUUUAGUUUUUAAAAUUAUGUAUUUUAAUAUUUUAUAUAGUAAAAAUUAUGUGUAAUAAAAUUUUUAGAUAAAAAAAUUAAACUUUCAGUUGAUAGAACAUAAAACUACAUUCAAUUGAUGGAAGUAUCUAUGGGAAGAUUAUUGUAAGCUGAAAAAUUAGACAAAAAAUUGAUAGGAUGUGCAUAACUUUAUUUUUUCAUAUGACGAAAAAAGUUAAUGCUAUAUGUUGUUCCAAUAUGAAACUCUUUUAUUUGGAGAAAUAUUGUGUACUCUAUUAUUUUCUCUUUUAUAUCAGUUGACGAAUGUUCGCUGUUAUAUCAAAAUUUUUUAAAGUUGCCAUAUUAGGUAAUAUUUGUUCAAAAAAAUUGAAAUUCAUCAAGUUAAUUAUCACUUUACAUUUAAAAUAAAAAAUUAUUAUAAAUUAUAAUUUAACUAAACUUAAAAGUGAUUUAAAGGCAUUUAUUAGCAAAAUUCAUUCGAUAAAUCUUUAUUUAAUUAUGCAUUUAGUAUUUCAAUUAUUUUGAAUUUUGAAUUUUUAUAAUUUUGAGUUAGAUUUUAGACUUUUGAUUAGCUCCCAAUUAGGUUGAAUCAAGUUUUAUUAUUUACUUUUAUUCAUAGUAUACUCAAUUAUUCGCUUAUAAACCUGAACAAAUUUAACUUCAUAAUUGUUAUAUACUUCUUUUUGUUUAAAAAACUAGAUUUAUAUCAUUAUAAUUUAAAUAAAAAAGUAUAUUCAAUUACUUAUAAUUGUAGUUUCACUUUAGAAAUAAUCUUGAAAUUAAUUAACUAAUUCAACUAUAGAGACAAUAAAAAUUAACCGUUGAAGAUGAAGGGAAAAAACCUUAAAUAAGAAACUUUUAAAUUGUUUAUGGAAGAUGAAUAAUUAAUUUUGGAUUUUGAUUGGGUUACUAUUUCAAUUCAAAUUUUGUUUAUAUUCAAUCAUUUUGGGUUUUAAAAAACUACUAAGUUGUUAACUUUUUAAAAUCAAUUGAAAUCAAAUGAAGUUAGUUUAUUUUUACAAUUAUAUGUAUAUUAUUUUAAUUAAAUUAAAAAAUUAAAAUGAGUAAAAUUUAAUUUCUAUUCUAUUUUAAUUUUAAAUUAUUUCAAGUUUGAGUUGAUUAAUCAAUGUUAUUUUAGUUAUACUUUUAUAAUAAUGGUAAUAAAUUUCAAAAUAUAAUGAUAACAUAACACAAUAAUAAUUUAAAUGUAAAAGUGAUGGAGAUUCUAUUGAUAAUUUUAGAAAAAAAAAAAAUCUUUAUAUCCAAGUUUUACAGAGAUUAAAUUAUGUAUCUUUUUUGAGAAUUUUAAAUUUAUAUUACAAAAAUGUUAAUCUAGAUCAACGUGUUUAUAAUCAUUUAUUUGUUAAUCAAGUUAUUGCUAUAAGAGUUGAGGAAAAUAAUUCAAAACUUGCAAAUGAAAGAGAUCAUAUCAUAAUUCAACUCAAGCAUGAAGACAACAUAAAAUUAAACAUUAUUUGGGUUAUUAUGUCCCCAUAUAAUAUUCUUUACUCUUUCCAAGUGAAGAAGUUAAUUGCCAUCAAAACAUCAAAGAGUUAUUUUGAAUAAUAAUAAUAAGAAUGACACAACAAUUAAAAAUAUAUAAUCUUUUGAUUUAUUAGAAGAAAUUUUUUAUGAAAAAUGUGAAAUAUUCUUUACUUUUUCCAAAUUGAGAUGUUGAUUAGCAUCAAAAUAUUAAAAAAAAAAAGUUAUUUUGAAUGAUAGUAAUAUGAAUGAAGCAACAAUUAAAAAUAUAUCAUCUUUUUAUUUAAUAGAAGAAAUUUUUUAUAGAGAAUAUGAGAAAAUGAGAAAAUUAGCCACAAUCUCUAUAAAUUUUUUUGUAUGAUUAACUAUGGUUUAAAUAUUAUUUAAAAGAAAUAAAUUAUAUUUAAUGCAUUCUUUUAUUAAUAUUUAAAAGAAGACAACACAUUAAUUAUAUUUUUAAAAUAUAUAUUAUUUUAUUCCGUAUCAUUAAACCAAUCUUUUAAUGCAUAAAAAAAGGGACCAAUCUCUUAAUGAAGUCGAAGAAAUUAUUGUACUUUUAUGUUAGCAAGGAAGUUUCAAAGAAAGGGACUUUUUUUUUUUUUUUUUUUUUAAGGAAAAUGGGAUUUAGAUAUUCUAAAUUAGCAUAAAUUAUGCGAUAAAAAUAUAAUAUACUAAAAAAUAAAAUUUAUGAUUAUUUUUAAAAUUUUAAAAUUUGUUAAAACUUUAUUUAAUUAACGAUGAAUUUGAAAUUUCUAAACAAAAUAAAGAGAAACUCAAACCAAUUUUCUUUUAAUAUAUUAUCUGUAAGACAUAAGUAUAUUGAAUUUUAACUAAAUUUCACAAUUUUUAAUUUUUCAUUUUCGUAAUUUGUAAAUAUACAUAUCAAACCAUAUAUUUAAUCUGUCAAUAAACAUGGCAUAAGUGGAUUUUAUGUUAUAUUUUGACUUAGUCGUGUUGGAAACCCUUUCUUCAAAAAUAAAUAUUUGUUAAUGAAGUCUUGAUUUAAUGAUAAGAAAAAAAAAUCUUAAAAUUUGAAGUUUUAAAUUUAAGUCUUUCUAUUUUAAUUGUAUAUUAAUUUAUUAAUUAAUUGUUUAAUAAUUACAACAUAAAAAAAAACUAAGAGAAUUAACACAUCAUAUCACCAAAAUAUUGAUCACCAAAUUAAGGACGAGCUCCUUUUAUUUAUUGAUAUUGAUAUUAUUCCAGAUCAACAUGGUAAAUAUCUCACAUACAUAUAUGAUGAUAUAUAUGUACUAGCAGCGGAUUUUUUUUUUAUUUUAAUAAUUAUAAUAAUGUGAUUGAUAAUUGCUUUUCUUUCAUAAUUAAUUAUUAAAGUGCCUAAGCAAAGGGCCUUUGAUUGUAGCAGUCGAGGUUGUUUCCGUAGCUCACUUUCAAUAUGUCACAAUAUCUCUUAUAGAAUCCGAUUCGAUCCUCAACCUGAGGGUUAGGUCCUUUGCCGCAUUCGAUGCCACCAUUGAUGAUGUUGGUAAUGACCCCAUAUCCAGGGACCCGACCGGCGGCCGUGUCUCCGGCGGAUGGCUUCCACUGACCAGUAAUGACAUCGUGACACGAAGGUUUUGGUGACUGUGGUGUCAUCCAGAACCAAAGAGCUGUCUUGAAAGAAAUGGUCGGGUCCCUUGCCACCGCAUCGGGGUCGUUCAGCAGAUCAACGUUUAUUGCUUUUCCUGCUGGACCAUAGUUGUAGUUGCUGCCAAAGUCAAGGUCAAGGUCAAGUCAAGAUAUAGUAAGGAUUUUCAUUUUUCAACAAGCAAUUUUCCCCCCAUAUUCCCAGCUUUUUAAUCCUAUCAUAUUUUAUUAUUUUAAGGGUAAAAUAUGUUUUUAAAUUCAACGAACUUUCUAUUAAAAAGAUUAAACACACUAUGCUUAUGUUUGUGAUUAGUCAAUAGUUAUGCAUGGAAAAUGAAAACCAAAUGAGCUAUAUAUGCUUGUUGUUUAACAAAAAUGCCUUAAUAGUAAUUUU